CGGUUCUGCAGUGGGUACGGGCAGACUAGAGUGCAGUAGGGGAGACUGGAAUCCUGGUGUAGCGUGAAAUGCGCAGAUAUCAGGAGGAACACCGAUGGCGAAGGCAGGUCUCUGGGCUGUAACUGACGCUGAGGAGCGAAAGCAUGGGGAGCGAACAGGAUUAGAUACCCUGGUAGUCCAUGCCGUAAACGUUGGGCACUAGGUGUGGGGGACAUUCCACGUUUUCCGCGCCGUAGCUAACGCAUUAAGUGCCCCGCCUGGGGAGUACGGCCGCAAGGCUAAAACUCAAAGGAAUUGACGGGGGCCCGCACAAGCGGCGGAGCAUGCGGAUUAAUUCGAUGCAACGCGAAGAACCUUACCAAGGCUUGACAUGAACCGGAAAGACCUGGAAACAGGUGCCCCGCUUGCGGUCGGUUUACAGGUGGUGCAUGGUUGUCGUCAGCUCGUGUCGUGAGAUGUUGGGUUAAGUCCCGCAACGAGCGCAACCCUCGUUCUAUGUUGCCAGCGGUUCGGCCGGGGACUCAUAGGAGACUGCCGGGGUCAACUCGGAGGAAGGUGGGGACGACGUCAAAUCAUCAUGCCCCUUAUGUCUUGGGCUUCACGCAUGCUACAAUGGCCGGUACAAAGGGUUGCGAUACUGUGAGGUGGAGCUAAUCCCAAAAAGCCGGUCUCAGUUCGGAUUGGGGUCUGCAACUCGACCCCAUGAAGUCGGAGUCGCUAGUAAUCGCAGAUCAGCAACGCUGCGGUGAAUACGUUCCCGGGCCUUGUACACACCGCCCGUCAAGUCACGAAAGUUGGUAACACCCGAAGCCGGUGGCCUAACCCUUGUGGGGGGAGCCGUCGAAGGUGGGACCGGCGAUUGGGACUAAGUCGUAACAAGGUAGCCGUACCGGAAGGUGC
This 900-nucleotide ribosomal RNA is filed under the name Paenarthrobacter sp. RNAcentral's name for it is "bacterial SSU rRNA". It matches the Rfam family "Bacterial small subunit ribosomal RNA", at positions 616 to 1515 of the family's 1533-position model. The record is from RNAcentral. Lineage: Bacteria; Bacillati; Actinomycetota; Actinomycetes; Micrococcales; Micrococcaceae.